GACGAACGCUGGCGGCGUGCUUAACACAUGCAAGUCGAACGGAAAGGCCCCCUUGUGGGGUACUCGAGUGGCGAACGGGUGAGUAACACGUGAGUAACCUACCCUUGACUUUGGGAUAACUUCAGGAAACUGGGGCUAAUACCGGAUAGGAACUCCUGCUGCAUGGUGGGGGUUGGAAAGUUUCGGCGGUUGGGGAUGGACUCGCGGCUUAUCAGCUUGUUGGUGGGGUAGUGGCUCACCAAGGCUUUGACGGGUAGCCGGCCUGAGAGGGUGACCGGCCACAUUGGGACUGAGAUACGGCCCAGACUCCUACGGGAGGCAGCAGUGGGGAAUAUUGCACAAUGGGCGGAAGCCUGAUGCAGCAACGCCGCGUGCGGGAUGACGGCCUUCGGGUUGUAAACCGCUUUCGCCUGUGACGAAGCGUGAGUGACGGUAAUGGGUAAAGAAGCACCGGCUAACUACGUG
Molecule: ribosomal RNA, 465 nt
Filed under: uncultured bacterium
Lineage: Bacteria
Description: partial 16S ribosomal RNA
Rfam family: Bacterial small subunit ribosomal RNA
Source: RNAcentral